Molecule: ribosomal RNA, 837 nt
Filed under: uncultured bacterium
Lineage: Bacteria
Description: bacterial SSU rRNA
Rfam family: Bacterial small subunit ribosomal RNA
Source: RNAcentral
GAUGAACGCUGGCGGCGUGCCUAACACAUGCAAGUCGAGCGAAGCGGUUUUAAGGAAGUUUUCGGAUGGAAUUAAAACUGACUGAGCGGCGGACGGGUGAGUAACGCGUGGGUAACCUGCCUCAUACAGGGGGAUAACAGUUAGAAAUGGCUGCUAAUACCGCAUAAGCACACAGCUUCGCAUGGAGCAGUGUGAAAAACUCCGGUGGUAUGAGAUGGACCCGCGUCUGAUUAGCUAGUUGGUAAGGUAACGGCUUACCAAGGCGACGAUCAGUAGCCGACCUGAGAGGGUGACCGGCCACAUUGGGACUGAGACACGGCCCAAACUCCCACGGGAGGCAGCAGUGGGGAAUAUUGCACAAUGGGGGAAACCCUGAUGCAGCGACGCCGCGUGAGUGAAGAAGUAUCUCGGUAUGUAAAGCUCUAUCAGCAGGGAAGAAAAUGACGGUACCUGACUAAGAAGCCCCGGCUAACUACGUGCCAGCAGCCGCGGUAAUACGUAGGGGGCAAGCGUUAUCCGGAUUUACUGGGUGUAAAGGGAGCGUAGACGGCGGAGCAAGUCCGAAGUGAAAGCCCGGGGCUCAACCCCGGGACUGCUUUGGAAACUGUUCUGCUAGAGUGCUGGAGAGGUAAGUGGAAUUCCUAGUGUAGCGGUGAAAUGCGUAGAUAUUAGGAGGAACACCAGUGGCGAAGGCGGCUUACUGGACAGUAACUGACGUUGAGGCUCGAAAGCGUGGGAGCAAACAGGAUUAGAUACCCUGGUAGUCCACGCCGUAAACGAUGAAUGCUAGGUGUUGGAGGGCAAAGCCCUUCGGUGCCGCCGCAAACGCAAUAAGCA